This is a long non-coding RNA of Rosa rugosa (rugosa rose), 367 nucleotides long. RefSeq lists it as uncharacterized. NCBI's taxonomy places the organism in Eukaryota, Viridiplantae, Streptophyta, Magnoliopsida, Rosales, Rosaceae. The record is from RefSeq and is a predicted model, not a curated record. The transcript has 3 exons.
CAACGGCCAAAUUGGAGCUCUUCCAGGGCAAUGCCGCGAGCUACGGUUAAAUGAAGGAACUCGUUUGCGUGGUCGCCCAAUAGUACUUUUGCAGGCGAAAUUAGUUGAGGUCGGGCGUACAUGGAGUCGAGGCAUAGCCAACAGCAUUGCUUCCGCGUACUCAUUCUAUUUCUGUUUUCUUUGUUACCUAGUGGAUUAGUAUUGCUCUGAUAACCUAUGGGAUUAAUAUUGCUUUUGGGUUGAGACUGAUAUUUGUGAAAUUGGAGUUGUGAUUUGGGGAGCAGAUGGCUCCAGAAGAUUAAGGAUGGAUGAUUUAGAAGUGUAAAUGUUUUCCUACAGGUUUUGGGUAGCCUACUUUUAGGGGAAG